This 373-nucleotide ribosomal RNA is filed under the name uncultured organism. Its description in RNAcentral is "partial 16S ribosomal RNA". It matches the Rfam family "Bacterial small subunit ribosomal RNA", at positions 527 to 896 of the family's 1533-position model. The record is from RNAcentral.
GUAGGUGGCAAGCGUUGUCCGGAAUUAUUGGGCGUAAAGCGCGCGCAGGCGGUUCUUUAAGUCUGAUGUGAAAGCCCACGGCUCAACCGUGGAGGGUCAUUGGAAACUGGAGAACUUGAGUACAGAAGAGGAAAGCGGAAUUCCACGUGUAGCGGUGAAAUGCGUAAAGAUGUGGAGGAACACCAGUGGCGAAGGCGGCUUUCUGGUCUGUAACUGACGCUGAGGCGCGAAAGCGUGGGGAGCAAACAGGGAUUAGAUACCCUGGUAGUCCACGCCGUAAACGAUGAGUGCUAAGUGUUAGGGGGUUUCCCGCCCCUUAGUGCUGCAGCUAACGCAUUAAGCACUCCGCCUGGGGAGUACGGCCGCAAGGCUG